UAUGAGGCUCAAAAAUUCUAAACACAAUGAAAAGAACUUUGAAGAUGUGUUCCAAACAAGAAGAGAAAUAGUCUCAGGGAAUAUGAUGUAAUGUCCAAAGAUGACAAAGAAAAGGCAACUGACUCAAAGUUACUCUUGGGCAAGUCAUUUCAUCUCUCCACGACACAGUUUCCUGCCUCUUCAACAAGCGAAAAGUGUUGGACACCAGGGUUGCAUCUAACUUAAUUUUGUUUCCGAUGUUCAUUAAGAAGAAUGAUCUUCAAGCUAGGAAGGAGAGUGUAUAUACCAAAGCGCUUUAUUAUAGCCAUAGCACCGUGAGAAAAUACAGGUUGAAUUAAUAAAUGGAACAGCUACUACAAGUACACUAAAAAGUAAGGAAAAAAAUAAAGAAUUUUUGUGGCCAGCAUAUUGGAAACAUUGUGGAAGAAUAGUUCCUCUUCACAUAAAGGUUACCUCUGUAAAGCUGCCAAGGUCAGAACCCUGGUGGGUUAUCUGCCAAAUGUGGAAACUGACAACCGAGAUGUUGAAUGGGAAAAUAUCUUGUUAUCUGCAAGAGAGAAGAUCCAUGAGAUAGAAGGAAACUGGAUAUCUGAAUUAAUGUAUAGAAGACCUCCUGACUGGGAAUGCACUCACACUGGAUUGUAAUGCAUGCGUCACUGUACUUUGCAUCUCACCCAUCCUGAAUGACAACUUGAAGAAUCAGCAUAUCAGCCAGGAUACUAGAGGACCCUUAAUUCUUAAUCAAAAUCCAUUUCUAUAAUACAAAGAGAGCACAUUCUUGGGUAUAUCCAACAUCCUCUUGUGAAAAGUAUGUUAAACAGAAGCAUUAUAAGAAUUAUAGCUGAAGAGCAGUCUCAAUUGCUUAUAUGUGUGCAUGUUUACACUAAAGACUUCAACAUUUCCAUGCUGUAUUUACAGAGAGCAAAAGUGCAACAGAUGCAUGCGUAUACAAUAUAUGUUUCACCUAACGUCCAACUGGCUAUUAUCAACUGGUAUUCAUUAAAUUGGAGCCUGAUAGUUCCUUGAGGGCAGGGACAGACAUCUCUCCUGCUUCUUGGUACCCACGUUCUCCCCACCAUCCCCAUGGUGUCUAGUACAAUGUACAAAGCAGGUGAUUAAUAAAUAUUUUCAGUUGAGUUGACAAUGCCUAUGCAAACACUUCUUUCUCAGUCUGAUAGCUCUUUAUCUGUUGC
Molecule: non-coding RNA, 1193 nt
Organism: Equus caballus (horse)
Lineage: Eukaryota; Metazoa; Chordata; Mammalia; Perissodactyla; Equidae
Source: RefSeq, a predicted model, not a curated record